RNAcentral lists this ribosomal RNA (446 nucleotides) under uncultured bacterium. RNAcentral's name for it is "bacterial SSU rRNA". It matches the Rfam family "Bacterial small subunit ribosomal RNA", at positions 329 to 792 of the family's 1533-position model. The record is from RNAcentral.
UGCCAGACUCCUACGGGAGGCAGCAGUGGGGAAUAUUGCACAAUGGGGGGAACCCUGAUGCAGCGACGCCGCGUGAAGGAUGGAGUAUUUCGGUACGUAAACUUCUAUCAGCAGGGAAGAAAAUGACGGUACCUGACUAAGAAGCCCCGGCUAACUACGUGCCAGCAGCCGCGGUAAUACGUAGGGGGCAAGCGUUAUCCGGAUUUACUGGGUGUAAAGGGAGCGUAGACGGGCCAGCAAGUCUGAUGUGAAAUCCCGGGGCCCAACCCCGGGAGUGCAUUGGAAACUGCGGGCCUGGAGUGCCGGAGAGGUAAGCGGAAUUCCUAGUGUAGCGGUGAAAUGCGUAGAUAUUAGGAGGAACACCAGUGGCGAAGGCGGCUUACUGGACGGUAACUGACGUUGAGGCUCGAAAGCGUGGGGAGCAAACAGGAUUAGAUACCCCGGUA